GACGAACGCUGGCGGCGUGCUUAACACAUGCAAGUCGAACGGAAAGGCCUCUUUCGGGGGGUACUCGAGUGGCGAACGGGUGAGUAACACGUGAGUAACCUGCCCUUUACUUUGGGAUAACUUCAGGAAACUGGGGCUAAUACCGGAUAGGAGCUCCUGCUGCAUGGUGGGGGUUGGAAAGUUUCGGCGGUUGGGGAUGGACUCGCGGCUUAUCCGCUUGUUGGUGGGGUAGUGGCUUACCAAGGCUUUGACGGGUAGCCGGCCUGAGAGGGUGAGCGGCGACAUUGGGACUGAGAUACGGCCCAGACUCCUACGGGAGGCAGCAGUGGGGAAUAUUGCACAAUGGGUGGAAGCCUGAUGCAGCAACGCCGUGGGCGGGAUGGCGGCCUUCGGGUUGUAAACCGCUUUCGCUCAUGACGAAGCUUUGUGUGACGGUAGUGGGUAAAGAAGCACCGGCUAACUACGUG
This 467-nucleotide ribosomal RNA is filed under the name uncultured bacterium. Its description in RNAcentral is "partial 16S ribosomal RNA". It matches the Rfam family "Bacterial small subunit ribosomal RNA", at positions 28 to 507 of the family's 1533-position model. The record is from RNAcentral.